UACAAUAAAUAGGGCUUUGUUCCUGAUCACACCACAUUAUCAACAAUAAACAGGGCCAUGUUCCUAACCACACCACAUUAUCUACAAUAAACAGGGCUAUGUUCCUGACCACACCACAUUAUCUACAAUAAACAGGGCUAUGUUCUUGACCACACCACAUUAUCUACAAUAAACAUGCAGAGCCAUGUUCCUGACCACACUACAUUAUCAACAAUAUACAGAGCCAUGUUCCUGACCACACCACAUUAUCUACAAUAAACAGGGUCAUGUUCCUGACCACACCACAUUAUCUACAAUAAACAGAGCCAUGUUCCUGACCACACCACAUUAUCUACAAUAAACAGGGCUAUGUUCCUGACCACACCACAUUAUCAACAAUAAACAGAGCCGUGUUCCUAACCACACCACAUUAUCAACAAUAAACAGAGCCAUGUUCCUGACCACACCACAUUAUCAACAAUAAACAGAGCCAUGUUCCUGACCACACCACAUUAUCAAUAAACAGAGGCUUUAUACAUGUGUAAUAUAUAGAAAUACUUGAUGGUAAUGUUACAUGGAAAACAUUAAUAUCUAUUUUUUGGGGUAUUAUAUAAAAAAGUCAAAAACGGCACAUUGGAAAACACUUGUAUAGGAUCACAUAUAUUCCAACAUAUAUUUGCUUGUCUAGGUUACUGACGAAAAAAAUAACUCCUAAUAGGAAACAUAAUGUUCAUAGGGAGGUCUGUAUAAAAGUACGAAUAAAUACUCUUAUUCAAAUAAAUACUCCGCUAAUGGCUUA
Ruditapes philippinarum (Manila clam) is the source of this 778-nucleotide long non-coding RNA. RefSeq lists it as uncharacterized. Lineage: Eukaryota; Metazoa; Mollusca; Bivalvia; Venerida; Veneridae. The record is from RefSeq and is a predicted model, not a curated record. The transcript is spliced from 2 exons.